GCAAGUCGAGCGCUAAUGAGAGAGAGGCGCAUACGGGAGUAACGAGUGGGAACCUGCCGUUUUCUGCGGGGUAACGGUUGGAAACGACCGGUAAUACCGCAUAUGCCCAACGGGGGUAAGGUCCGCUGGAAAAAGAGGGGCCCGGGUGUGAUUAGCUAGUUGGUGGGGUAAUGGCCCACCAAGGCGACGAUCCGUAGCUGGUCUGAGAGGAUGAUC
Molecule: ribosomal RNA, 216 nt
Filed under: uncultured bacterium
Lineage: Bacteria
Description: partial 16S ribosomal RNA
Rfam family: Bacterial small subunit ribosomal RNA
Source: RNAcentral